UACGGAGGAUGCGAGCGUUAUCCGGAUUUAUUGGGUUUAAAGGAUGCGUAGGCGGGCUUUUAAGUCAGCGGUAAAAAUUCGGGGCUCAACCCCGUCCGGCCGUUGAAACUGGGGGCCUUGAGUGGGCGAGAAGAAGGCGGAAUGCGUGGUGUAGCGGUGAAAUGCAUAGAUAUCACGCAGAACCCCGAUUGCGAAGGCAGCCUUCCGGCGCCCUACUGACGCUGAGGCACGAAAGUGCGGGGAUCGAACAGG
Molecule: ribosomal RNA, 252 nt
Filed under: uncultured bacterium
Lineage: Bacteria
Description: partial 16S ribosomal RNA
Rfam family: Bacterial small subunit ribosomal RNA
Source: RNAcentral